AGCUAAUAUGAAUGAUGUGAUGUUUACAACUAAUUGAUUACAACCAGUUACAGAUUUCUUUGUCCCUUUUCCAUGCCCACUGCUUCACCUGACUAGCCUUAA
Molecule: unclassified non-coding RNA, 102 nt
Organism: Gorilla gorilla gorilla (western lowland gorilla)
Lineage: Eukaryota; Metazoa; Chordata; Mammalia; Primates; Hominidae
Rfam family: Y RNA
About the family: Y RNAs are components of the Ro ribonucleoprotein particle (Ro RNP), in association with Ro60 and La proteins. The Y RNAs and Ro60 and La proteins are well conserved, but the function of the Ro RNP is not known.
Source: Ensembl